GACGAACGCUGGCGGCGUGCCUAAUACAUGCAAGUCGAGCGGACAGAUGGGAGCUUGCUCCCUGAAGUCAGCGGCGGACGGGUGAGUAACACGUGGGCAACCUGCCUGUAAGACUGGGAUAACUCCGGGAAACCGGGGCUAAUACCGGAUAAUUCUUUCCCUCACAUGAGGGAAAGCUGAAAGAUGGUUUCGGCUAUCACUUACAGAUGGGCCCGCGGCGCAUUAGCUAGUUGGUGAGGUAACGGCUCACCAAGGCAACGAUGCGUAGCCGACCUGAGAGGGUGAUCGGCCACACUGGGACUGAGACACGGCCCAGACUCCUACGGGAGGCAGCAGUAGGGAAUCUUCCGCAAUGGACGAAAGUCUGACGGAGCAACGCCGCGUGAGUGAUGAAGGUUUUCGGAUCGUAAAACUCUGUUGUUAGGGAAGAACAAGUACCGGAGUAACUGCCGGUACCUUGACGGUACCUAACCAGAAAGCCACGGCUAACUACGUGCCAGCAGCCGCGGUAAUACGUAGGUGGCAAGCGUUGUCCGGAAUUAUUGGGCGUAAAGCGCGCGCAGGCGGUUCCUUAAGUCUGAUGUGAAAGCCCCCGGCUCAACUGGGGAGGGUCAUUGGAAACUGGGGAACUUGAGUGCAGAAGAGAAGAGUGGAAUUCCACGUGUAGCGGUGAAAUGCGUAGAGAUGUGGAGGAACACCAGUGGCGAAGGCGACUCUUUGGUCUGUAACUGACGCCGAGGCGCGAAAGCGUGGGGAGCAAACAGG
Molecule: ribosomal RNA, 765 nt
Filed under: Cytobacillus firmus
Lineage: Bacteria; Bacillati; Bacillota; Bacilli; Caryophanales; Bacillaceae
Description: bacterial SSU rRNA
Rfam family: Bacterial small subunit ribosomal RNA
Source: RNAcentral